RNAcentral lists this ribosomal RNA (229 nucleotides) under uncultured bacterium. RNAcentral's name for it is "partial 16S ribosomal RNA". It matches the Rfam family "Bacterial small subunit ribosomal RNA", at positions 104 to 334 of the family's 1533-position model. The record is from RNAcentral.
CGGGGUGAGUAAUGUAUGGGGAUCUGCCUGAUGGCGGGGGAUAACUACUGGAAACGGUAGCUAAUACCGCAUAAUGUCUGCGGACCAAAGCGGGGGACCUCCGGGCCUCGCGCCAUCAGAUGAACCCAUAUGGGAUUAGCUUGUAGGUAAGGUAACGGCUUACCUAGGCGACGAUCCCUAGCUGGUCUGAGAAGAUGAUCAGCCGCACUGGGACUGAGACACGGCCCAG